This is a long non-coding RNA of Schistocerca cancellata (South American locust), 879 nucleotides long. RefSeq lists it as uncharacterized. The transcript is spliced from 3 exons. The record is from RefSeq and is a predicted model, not a curated record. NCBI's taxonomy places the organism in Eukaryota, Metazoa, Arthropoda, Insecta, Orthoptera, Acrididae.
CCACGAGUUUGAUUUUGCUAGCAGUGUUCUCCACAUCGAAAAUAUCUACUGAGUUUUUAGUUAUAAAAUGUUUUUGUAUAAACAUGAACGACGAGAAGUUAAUCGAACUCGUUCUCCAAAAUGUGGAGUUGUAUGACAUGAGCUGCAAAAAAUACAGCGACACUUUGUUUAAAGAAGAAAUAUGGAAGAAAAUUGGAUUGGUUAUCGGUCGCCCAGAUUUCACUGAAUGUGACUGUAUGCAAGAAAUGGUAAACAGCAGAUUUCAUACCAAUUAUUGGAUGAUUCUCUUGCUGGAAAUUGGUGGGACCAUUCUUGUAUUAUAAGAAGGAAAUGGCACAUUAGCACCAAAGGAACAUAUCUGUGAACAGUUGCUGUAAGGGAUGUUGUGUGCCUAUCAUGCAGGAUGUGUGCCAUUCAUUGAUCUCUCUGUGAAAUAGUGGCGUGGAUGGAAAAUAAUAUGCACAGGCAUUACGUAAAUUCUGCAGGUAAAUGUAAAGAGAACAGUUACUACAAAAAAAGGGCACAUGGCUACUAGCAGAUCAAUGUAAUGCACUGAAAUUCAUAUAUUGAAGUAUUCAAUACCAUACCAAAUAGAUCACUUGAGCCUCAUUUUGUUACAUUUGUAAGUACCCUGCCUCAUGUCUUUAUUUAUUUGUGUUAAAUGCUGUUCAUUAUGUUACCUUUGAAUAUAAUACAAUGAUGUUACACAAUACAAUACAAUGUGUACAAUACAAUGAUGUUAUUAGUCAAUUGUGCAAAAGAUCUAUUUGCCUACUAUGUAAGCACCAUACUAUCUACUAACAUUUGUACAAAAACAAACAAACUACAUGAAACUAUCCAAUAUUGUUUUAUGCCAUACAUGUUAGCAAAUAAAUUUAA